RNAcentral lists this ribosomal RNA (492 nucleotides) under uncultured bacterium. RNAcentral's name for it is "partial 16S ribosomal RNA". It matches the Rfam family "Bacterial small subunit ribosomal RNA", at positions 28 to 507 of the family's 1533-position model. The record is from RNAcentral.
GGUGAACGCUGGCGGUAGGCCUAACACAUGCAAGUCGAACGGCAGCACAGUAAGAGCUUGCUCUUACGGGUGGCGAGUGGCGGACGGGUGAGGAAUACAUCGGAAUCUACUUUUUCGUGGGGGAUAACGUAGGGAAACUUACGCUAAUACCGCAUACGACCUACGGGUGAAAGCAGGGGAUCUUCGGACCUUGCGCGAUUGAAUGAGCCGAUGUCGGAUUAGCUAGUUGGCGGGGUAAAGGCCCACCAAGGCGACGAUCCGUAGCUGGUCUGAGAGGAUGAUCAGCCGCACUGGAACUGAGACACGGUCCAGACUCCUACGGGAGGCAGCAGUGGGGAAUAUUGGACAAUGGGCGCAAGCCUGAUCCAGCCAUACCGCGUGGGUGAAGAAGGCCUUCGGGUUGUAAAGCCCUUUUGUUGGGAAAGAAAAGCAGCAGGUUAAUACCCCGCUGUUCUGACGGUACCCAAAGAAUAAGCACCGGCUAACUUCGUG